RNAcentral lists this ribosomal RNA (464 nucleotides) under uncultured bacterium. RNAcentral describes it as "partial 16S ribosomal RNA". It matches the Rfam family "Bacterial small subunit ribosomal RNA", at positions 28 to 507 of the family's 1533-position model. The record is from RNAcentral.
GAUGAACGCUGGCGGCGUGCUUAACACAUGCAAGUCGAACGGAAAGGCUCCUGCUUGCAGGGGUACUCGAGUGGCGAACGGGUGAGUAACAAGUGGGUGAUCUGCCCUGCACUUCGGGAUAAGCCUGGGAAACUGGGUCUAAUACCGGAUAGGACCACAUUUUGGAUGGUGUGGUGGAACGUUUUUCGGUGUGGGAUGAGCUCGCGGCCUAUCAGCUUGUUGGUGGGGUAAUGGCCUACCAAGGCGUCGACGGUAGCCGGCCUGAGAGGGUGUACGGCCACAUUGGGACUGAGAUACGGCCCGAACUCCUACGGGAGGCAGCAGUGGGGAAUAUUGCACAAUGGGCGCAAGCCUGAUGCAGCGACGCCGCGUGGGGGAUGACGGCCUUCGGGUGGUAAACUCCUUUCGCUAGGGACGAAGCGCAAGUGACGGUACCUGGAGAAGAAGCACCGGCUAACUACGUG